GAUGAUAGGCGUUAAGAGCUAGUAGCAUAAAGUGAAAGACACUAAUAAGAGCUCUGGAACAGAUUCUGGGUUUCAUGUAAUUAUGGAAGUAACUUACAUAAUUUAAGAAUGUAAGGACAAUGCGUACAAUCAUGUUUAGGUAUGAAACGAACUUCUGACCAAGAUCCCGAAUGUAUUCAUGUUGUGAUGAGCAUCGUUAAUGAAUAGAUGAAAAGAUAAGAGUAGGUAUGAGAAAGGUUUCGGGGACGAAACCUCCUUUAAGGGAGGUAGAUUUGUAACAGCCCAAAAUUUAUAAUAGAUUAUUUAUUAUGUUAAGAGUUUAAUUUAAUUAGUUAAGUCUAAUAAAUAUGAUAUAAGUUUAUAAAGAAUGAAAUAUUUAUAUAAGAAUGACAACAUAAAUGACCACAAAAGCAACCUUGAGGGGUUGAAUAUGUAAAUUAUGAUGUUAAACAUAAGAAAAAUGAAAAACCCAGUGUUUUUGGUGGGUGUAUGUCACGAGCAGAGGGCAAGGGAAAAGGGAAAAACCCUUCUCCUUCAAUUGAACUCAAGAUUCAGCAAAUUGGUGAUGGUUUUAAACACAAAUCGAAUGCAUGAGCUUAGUUACUCCAUAACCUAAGUGGUUUGAACAUAAGUAUAGGGAUCAUAUCAAGAUGGAUGGAAGCAUGAAGGGCUAACGGGUCAAGAGGACAUGGGGAAGCGAACGCAAAUACGGAUGCGUAAGGUAAGUAAUUUCCCGGACUCCCUCUUUAGUAGUAAAGAGAUUAGUUGCAUAAUAAAUGUUAGAAGUUGUGUUGAAACGUGAAUUUGAUGAUGAUAUCAAGUAUUAGUAUUAAGUGAGUGAUUUUCCGGAAUCACUUCUUAGUUUAUUAAAGUAAGGUUAUGUGCUAGUUAUUUAAGUAUGGUAUUGGAGAUUAGGAAGGUUUGAGUAUGUAGAAGUGAAGGUUUCCGCUAAGUCGACCAAACGGGUCAAAAUGAGAGUUAACCCAUUACGGUAUGAUUUGCAUAAGUUAUGACGAAGGUAUUAUAACCGGGUCAUGGAACUAAUUUCUUACAAGUGCGAUAACCGAGAAAUGGGGACAUGGGUUAAUGGUAAAAAGGCUUAGUCUUGAGUUUAAACAAAAGAGUUGUUUGAUAAAAACAUGAACGGGUCGAAUAAUUUGUAAAUGAAUAUUAAGCCAAAAGCAUAUAAGUUAAGAACUUCCUUAGUUUGGAUGUUAGAUUUUGAGUCCAUUUGAUAGAGGACCAAAAUAUGGUCAUGUAGGAAGAAACGAGAGGUUAAACGGGUUGAAAGUUAUGCGAAUUUAGUUUAUGCGAACAACGAAACAACACAGCAGGAAAAUGAAUAAACGAGGGGCCGUCGCCGACGCCCAGAAGGGUCGUCGCCGACGGCAUGUGGGAAUUGAAUUUUGGCCGACGGCCUAGUUUCCUGUCUACGGAGCUUUUGGACGACGGAGGUGCGUCGCCGACGGCCAAUAUGGGCGUCGGCGACGGUGCCAGAGUUUAUGUUUUCUGUUUUCUUCCAUAUGUGAACCCGGUUGAUCCAGUUCGUGUCCCGGCGUUCCGUUAAGCUCCCGAAUGGACCAAAAAUCAAGUUUCUGAUGCAUUUUUGAUAAAGGAAAGGUAUGUAUGUUUAUAACUCCACGUGUACGUAUGUAGUGGGUUAUGUAGUUAUGCUUAAUAAUAUGUAAGAAUGUUGAAUGUAUGUCUAGUCGUAGGAAGGAUAUGUAAGUACGUAGCUGUGUAUGUAGAUAUGUAUAAGGAUAUGUAUGAGUGUACGUACGAAUGUAGAUGUAUAUGUAUGUGGGUAUGUAAAUACGUAUAUGUGUAUGAUUUAGACACAUUGAUCAUUAACGUUAUUAAUGGUGUACCACGAGAAUGAUAAGUAAUGCAGGUACAUUCAUGAAGCCUCACCAGGAAAUGGAUACGCAGAUGUAAAUCUUGAAGUUGAUAAAGAAAGAGAUGUGAGGUGUACGUGAAUGAUCUUGUUUAUACAUUAUGUGCUAAUGUUUGAAUGUAUAUGGUGAAUGCAGGUUGUACGGGAGACGGAGGAUCAUCAAGGUAUAAAGAUCGAGGACCGAGUCACUUGAGGGAUUGUACGGGGUUGUCUAAGGAUGUAAUUUGUUGUACAUAAGCUAUGAUUUAUUCUAUAAUUGAGUCAGUUGUUGUAUUCUAUAUAAAAAGAGUUAUUUUAAAAA
Long non-coding RNA from Helianthus annuus (common sunflower), 2195 nucleotides. RefSeq lists it as uncharacterized. The transcript is spliced from 2 exons. NCBI's taxonomy places the organism in Eukaryota, Viridiplantae, Streptophyta, Magnoliopsida, Asterales, Asteraceae. The record is from RefSeq and is a predicted model, not a curated record.